GAUGAAUGCUGGCGGCGUGCUUAACACAUGCAAGUCGAACGGAAAGGCCCAAGCUUGCUUGGGUACUCGAGUGGCGAACGGGUGAGUAACACGUGGGUGAUCUGCCCUGCACUUCGGGAUAAGCCUGGGAAACUGGGUCUAAUACCGGAUAGGACGAUGGUUUGGAUGCCAUUGUGGAAAGUUUUUUCGGUGUGGGAUGAGCUCGCGGCCUAUCAGCUUGUUGGUGGGGUAAUGGCCUACCAAGGCGUCGACGGGUAGCCGGCCUGAGAGGGUGUACGGCCACAUUGGGACUGAGAUACGGCCCAGACUCCUACGGGAGGCAGCAGUGGGGAAUAUUGCACAAUGGGCGCAAGCCUGAUGCAGCGACGCCGCGUGGGGGAUGACGGCCUUCGGGUUGUAAACUCCUUUCGCUAGGGAAGAAGCGUUUUUGUGACGGUACCUGGAGAAGAAGCACCGGCUAACUACGUG
RNAcentral lists this ribosomal RNA (468 nucleotides) under uncultured bacterium. Its description in RNAcentral is "partial 16S ribosomal RNA". It matches the Rfam family "Bacterial small subunit ribosomal RNA", at positions 28 to 507 of the family's 1533-position model. The record is from RNAcentral.